Molecule: ribosomal RNA, 497 nt
Filed under: uncultured bacterium
Lineage: Bacteria
Description: partial 16S ribosomal RNA
Rfam family: Bacterial small subunit ribosomal RNA
Source: RNAcentral
GAUGAACGCUGGCGGCGUGCCUAAUACAUGCAAGUCGAGCGAACGGACGAGAAGCUUGCUUCUCUGAUGUUAGCGGCGGACGGGUGAGUAACACGUGGAUAACCUACCUAUAAGACUGGGAUAACUUCGGGAAACCGGAGCUAAUACCGGAUGAUAUUUUGAACCGCAUGGUUCAAAAGUGAAAGACGGUCUUGCUGUCACUUAUAGAUGGAUCCGCGCUGCAUUAGUUAGUUGGUAAGGUAACGGCUUACCAAGGCAACGAUGCAUAGCCGACCUGAGAGGGUGAUCGGCCACACUGGAACUGAGACACGGUCCAGACUCCUACGGGAGGCAGCAGUAGGGAAUCUUCCGCGAUGGGCGAAAGCCUGACGGAGCAACGCCGCGUGAGUGAUGAAGGUCUUCGGAUCGUAAAACUCUGUUAUUGGGGAAGAACAUAUGUGUAAGUAACUGUGCACAUCUUGACGGUACCUAAUCAGAAAGCCACGGCUAACUACGUG